Molecule: ribosomal RNA, 458 nt
Filed under: uncultured bacterium
Lineage: Bacteria
Description: partial 16S ribosomal RNA
Rfam family: Bacterial small subunit ribosomal RNA
Source: RNAcentral
CCUACGGGAGGCAGCAGUGAGGAAUAUUGGUCAAUGGGCGAGAGCCUAAACCAGCCAAGUCGCGUGAGGGAGUACUGCCCUAUGGGUUGUAAACCUCUUUUGUCGGGGAGCAAAAGCCGGACGUGUCCGGCUGUGAGAGUACCCGAAGAAAAAGCAGCGGCUAACUCCGGGCCAGCAGCCGCGGGAAUACGGAGGAUGCGAGCGUUCUCCGGAUUUAUUGGGUUUAAAGGGUGCGCAGGCGGAUUUUUAAGUCAGCGGGCAAAUCGUGGGGCUCAACCCCAUCCAGCCGUUGAAACUGGGGAUCUAGAGUGUGCGAGCGGUAUGCGGAAUGCGUGGUGUAGCGGUGAACUGCAUAGAUAUCACGCAGCACCCCGAUUGCGAAGGCAGCAUACCGGUGCACAACUGACGCUCAGGCACGAAAGCGUGGGUAUCGAACAGGAUUAGAUACCCUAGUAGUC